Long non-coding RNA from Hippocampus zosterae (dwarf seahorse), 298 nucleotides. RefSeq lists it as uncharacterized. The transcript is spliced from 2 exons. Lineage: Eukaryota; Metazoa; Chordata; Actinopteri; Syngnathiformes; Syngnathidae. The record is from RefSeq and is a predicted model, not a curated record.
AUAAAAUACUCUUGAACAUGUUGGUUAUUGAUUUCAGAUGAAACUUAAUGUGCAGAGACAAAAUAUAUCAAAUGUAUCAAAUGGUGGAAAAAUAAAGAAAACAAAUUAACAUUUUGUAAAUCUCACAUUUGAGAUGUAAAUGAAGAAAUCAUCCACAAGCGAGUCUAGUCAUUGUCAGCAUUCUAGGGUGUCUGGGGGGGGUGUCCACUGAGAAUUGAUUUUCUUUUAAUUUACACAGUGAGUGCACUCACUGGUCUGUCCACUUGCUACAAUGAAGGGAAGAUUUUUUUGGUGUUUU